AAAGAAAAACCAAAAAUAUCAGUCCGACACUACGACCCGUAGCAGUGGGCGGGAGAAGGUGGAAUCGGAUCUCACGACGUAUCCAACUACCGGUCAGACAGGGAUUUGGAGGAUGAGCAUUGCGUUCCAAAUAAGGGGUAAUUCCUACGCAUCGGAGCAAAACCUUCAACGACUGUUAGGCGGUAACGCCUCCUCCAUCUCCAUCCAUUCCCGCAAAACUCACAAAAAAAUCAAACCCCUCUCUCUCUCUCUUUUACUCUCUCUCUCUCUCUCUCUCUCAGCCAACCCAAAAUCACAGAGAAUUUCCUAGAUUUUUAGUAUAAACAUUCCUCUCUAAACCUUCCUUACGUCAAUGUCCUCCGACUCCAGCUCCUCAACCUCCGGCGACGACCCCAAAAGUGGGCAAGGUAGCCCCAAACCACUCGAACAUCAAUUUGCAUCCGUCGCAUUGAGUGAAGCGCCGGGAACUGUGGGUGGUUUCGAGCAAAGAGUUGACAACAAUUUUGAGGUUGAUGAGGUGGGACAGAGUGUCGAGCAUGGCGUGAUGUGGAAGAGGACAAAUUCGGAGCUGGAAGUGGAUGGGCAGUCGAGCCCGAGUAGCAGUGGCUAUGCCGGUGAAAGGGGCAGUACCGGUGCCAGCAGUGCUGCGUCGGGGAUUGACGGGAUUGUCGAGGAUGAGAUACAGCAAGCGAGGAAUGAUGAUUCAGUCGAUGGGUCUUCGGAUUUGUCGUCAUCUGGGGUGCCCGGCAAACGGCACCUCGAUGAGGAUGAUGCUUCCAUAUCAUGGAGAAAAAGGAAGAAGCACUUUUUUAUUCUAAGUAACUCAGGCAAACCAAUAUAUUCCAGAUAUGGAGAUGAACACAAGCUAGCAGGAUUUUCAGCAACGUUGCAGGCCAUUAUUUCCUUUGUGGAGAAUGGGGGGGACCAUAUCAAAUCGGUCAGGGCAGGAAAACACCAGGUGAUUUUUCUUGUGAAGGGACCCAUAUACUUAGUUUGCAUUAGCUGUACAGAGGAGCCUUAUGAGUCAUUGAGGGGUCAAUUGGAGCUAAUUUAUGGUCAGAUGAUUCUUAUUUUAACAAAGUCGGUAAAUAGGUGUUUUGAGAAGAAUCCGAAGUUUGAUAUGACACCCUUGCUUGGAGGAACUGAUGUUGUCUUCUCAUCUUUAAUCCAUUCUUUCAGUUGGAAUCCAGCAACAUUUCUUCAUGCAUACACAUGUCUUCCCCUUGCUUAUGCAACAAGGCAAGCUGCAAGUGCUAUAUUACAAGAUGUUGCCGAUUCAGGUGUUCUAUUUGCAAUAUUAAUGUGCAAGCACAAGGUUAUCAGUCUUGUUGGUGCUCAAAAAGCUUCGCUUCAUCCUGAUGACAUGCUACUACUUGCCAACUUUGUUAUGUCAUCAGAAUCAUUUAGGACUUCUGAAUCUUUUUCACCAAUUUGCCUGCCAAGAUAUAAUCCCAUGGCAUUUUUGUAUGCUUAUGUGCAUUACUUUGAUGUUGAUACAUACUUGAUUUUACUUACUACAAGUUCAGAUGCCUUCUAUCAUCUUAAGGAUUGCAGGAUUCGUAUUGAAGUGGUCCUUUUGAAGUCAAAUGUUCUCAGUGAAGUUCAGAGGUCCAUGCUAGAUGGCGGGAUGCAUGUCGAGGAUUUGCCUAUCGAUCCAUUGCCUCGUUAUGGAUCUUUAUCUUCACAUCUGGGCCAACCUACAGAUUCUCCUGAGGGAUUCAGAGAAUUUACAGGCAUUGGGGGUCCAGCAGGACUUUGGCAUUUCAUGUAUCGCAGUAUAUUUCUAGAUCAAUAUGUUUCUUCCGAUUUCUCACCACCAAUUAAUAAUCCACGACAGCAAAAGAGAUUAUACAGAGCUUACCAUAAACUUUAUGCUUCUAUGCAUGAUACAGGAGUUGGUCCCUACAAAACUCAGUUUAGAAGAGAUGAAAAUUAUGGGCACAAACACUGAGGCAGAGAUGAGAGCACUCCUUGAGGGCUUAAUGAUAUGUAUACAGAAGGGUUUUCUACAUGUGGAGGUAGAAUCAGAUUGUAUGGUUGUGGUAUGAUGGAUGCAAGGGCAAGGGUGCUGUCCGUGUUUUCGUAGGGAGCUGUGGGAUAAGACCAUAGAGUUUAAAAGAGAUCUGUCUAUCUCAUGCCACCAUGUGUUCCACGAGGUGAACCAAGUUGCAGACCAUUUGGCCAAGCUGGGAGCUACAGGGGAGAUGCGGAUUUAUAGUUGUUGGUCGAAUAUCCCACGGACAGCGCGAGGGUUCUACUCUGUUGGGCCACCCCAGAUUUUGAACUAUAUGCUGCCUUUGAUCCACUUGCAGAGAAGGCAUUAGCUAUAAAGACUUGCAACCGGAUUUCCCAAUGGGUGAAAGAUGUGGAAAAUGAA
Molecule: RNA transcript, 2377 nt
Organism: Juglans microcarpa x Juglans regia
Lineage: Eukaryota; Viridiplantae; Streptophyta; Magnoliopsida; Fagales; Juglandaceae
Gene name: vacuolar fusion protein MON1 homolog
Exons: 15
Source: RefSeq, a predicted model, not a curated record